GGACGCAUGUAGAGUAAAAACAAACUUCAGCCAUCGAACCAUUUGUGAGGCACUGUAUGGGUUGCCUUGCAAUCUCUUUGUAAGCUCAUGCAGCAGUGGAAUGACAGCGUGUAUAGGCAUUCUGGCUACUGUGUUCUUUAUUAAAGUUUCCUUUCUUGUGGAAAGCACUUUAUUUAAGAUAUCUUCAUCGUUGCUUUCCAAGCCCUGAACCAAAAGCACUGCAAAGCUAUCUGUUUGUGGAAGGCCACCUGGAGUUUUUACUUUGCUCACAUCGAUAUCCAAUGCCCCUAGGCGCUCCUCAAUGCUGUCCUCUGUCUCUCCUGGUUUCCUCUUGCUUUUCUUUUUCUCCUUUCCCGAGGACGGAGUUUUAACAGCUGCACUAUGUCCUGGAAUGCCAGGCACUAGAACUUUGGUGUCUGAGUUCACAACUGGCGUCCUCACCUUUGUUACAGCAUCAUCUGUUUUAAGCGCCAACGCUUUCUGGACGUCCCUUAUCAAACAUAUGUGGGAUUCGCUGGUGUUCAAAGACACUUUCUCUAUGAUGGGCUGUAAGGUGUUUCCAUACACAAGCAGCAGAGACUGUUUGUCUGUGCAAAACGCAGCCGCUAAAAUAGGGACUGGUUUUGGCGUGGAGUCUCCAUCAUUUCCAGGUGUUGCUAUCUGGAUAGUACAGUUUGAUGUUAAGGGUUUUUUGCAGUAGCCAUUUAAGAUGUGUUCAAAUAAAUGCAACUGCCCAUCUCUGCAAACAACUGCUAACUUCACAGGCUCUUCUUUGAGUUCUGACACGGUCAGGUCAAUAAACGUUGGUUCAUCUGUUACCGUGAAAGACAUCACAGCAUUCUUUUCUUUCCUAUCUGAUCUGAUCUGCCAAACACUCAGUAACCGGUCGUGUAUAGCCCCAGACAAGAAAUAAAGUCCUGUAAUUCCAUCAAAGGGUUUGUUUUCGUUCAUAGGUUUCACUGUGGUAAACAUUAAUGAUGACACUGAUGUAGCAUGGCCUGUGAAAUGUCUGUAGACUUCUUUGGUCUCCAGGUCCCACAGUUUUAUAGUUCUACCGGCUGACAGCAGCAUUUUGCCAUCUGGACUGAUGCACAAAGAGCUGACACUGCUAUUGUCACCUUUCCACUUGCACUUUACUUUGCAGGUCUGUGUGUUCCAUUCCACAAUGUGUUUGUCUUCUGAACAGCUAUACAAACAGCAGUUGUCCUGAUGCCACCUCACACAGUUUAUUCUACUGUCAUGACCGCCAUCUAGCUUGCUUUGUAAUUCUCCUUUUACUGUGCUGUACAACAAAAUGCUACCAACUGCUGUGCCAAUAGCCAGGAUAUCUAACUGCUUGUCCACCUCUGCAGCUUCAGACUUCCGUUUUUUCCUCUGGGGGCCAUCCU
Molecule: long non-coding RNA, 1388 nt
Filed under: Gallus gallus (chicken)
Lineage: Eukaryota; Metazoa; Chordata; Aves; Galliformes; Phasianidae
Source: RNAcentral